AUCCGUCUGAUAUGAAAAUGACAAGUUGCAAUGUAGCUCUAUGUAAAAAUAUCGUCUAAAUCACGAUUUCUGAAGCAUGCAUGUUAUAUUGCUUAUGCAAUUGUCAUUGCUACUAUUUCGUUAUAUUGAAUGUCAGCUGACAUAAUUAUAGGGAAACUGACUGACCGAGGAUGUCUUAUAAACCGUUCACAGGCUCUUACGAUGACACUGGGUAUGAAAAUCCUCAACAAGAAAACUCUGUGCAUGGGUUGUAUGGAACAAUGCAAGCUGCAAUGGUAACUGGUCAGGAGGACAUUCAAACUUCAGUACAAGAGAGGGCAAUAGCUAUGUCCAGCAGUAAAUCAAAUUGCAAUUGGGCAAAUAUGUGGCGUUCAGUAAGCUGCUUCUUGCCUUGCCUUUUUCUUAUUGUUGUGAUGUCGAUAAUACUCAGCUGUUUUAAUCUAUUGGUUUUCCCAACAAUAGUUUCCCAACAAAGCGUGUUGAAUAAUAAUACUGUAGUGCUUGACCUUUAUUCGAAAGGUAUACUCCCUGAUGCCUAUACUAUCUAAACUGGUAUAGUGCUAUUACAAUUGGAAUAUCAAAACCUGCGUAUCCUGUAACCAUUAUUUACGUGGAUGGUGAGAAGGCAUGUGAUCCAUUGCCUAGCAACAAAAAACGAAAACGUUUCGAAUCGUCUUUCAUUCUAGUGGACCCUGCCUUAGCUCCAGUCAAUGUCAUAAUCGACCAAUACCUGACUCGAGGAGCUAAAUUAAAUCUGAACUUCACGCUGCACUUAACAAAUAGCCGAAAAAAACCUGAAGGCAAUGAACAAAUAACGUUUUGUAUCCUUGAUAACAGAAACUCCUACCAACAUUACAAAGAUCACCAAGGUAAUAUCCAAGACUGCUUGAACAGAGAAAAGUACACAUUUCCUGUGAAUAGUGAUGCGAAUUUCACACUAGAAUACAUUUUCCAAGAAUCCAAGUACUUCUUCAUCAUCCUUCUUUCAACGACAAAAGUUGAGAUUCAACACUCGUACGAGCUUUUAUAUCAAUUCUAUGAUCUUAACGACUAUCACCCUCGAGCAGACCAGAUGUGUAUGAUCAGCGAGGAGAGAGACUGGAAAAACUGUUCACUGGAUUCCAAUGGAACUCAAGGCUGCUUUCUUGUGUAUGCUGCCCCAGCUGUUGACACUCCUCAAUUCACUGACAUGGAUGUGACUGUAUUUCAUAACUCACACACUCCAGUGUUUAUAGCAACAGCUA
This is a long non-coding RNA of Halichondria panicea, 1244 nucleotides long. RefSeq lists it as uncharacterized. The record is from RefSeq and is a predicted model, not a curated record. The transcript is spliced from 3 exons. Lineage: Eukaryota; Metazoa; Porifera; Demospongiae; Suberitida; Halichondriidae.